GAUGAACGCUAGCUACAGGCUUAACACAUGCAAGUCGAGGGGCAGCAUGACCUAGCAAUAGGUUGAUGGCGACCGGCGCACGGGUGAGUAACACGUAUCCAACCUACCGGUUAUUCUGGGAUAGCCUUUCGAAAGAAAGAUUAAUACCGGAUAGUAUAACGAGAAGGCAUCUUUUUGUUAUUAAAGAAUUUCGAUAAUCGAUGGGGAUGCGUUCCAUUAGUUUGUUGGCGGGGUAACGGCCCACCAAGACAUCGAUGGAUAGGGGUUCUGAGAGGAAGGUCCCCCACAUUGGAACUGAGACACGGUCCAAACUCCUACGGGAGGCAGCAGUGAGGAAUAUUGGUCAAUGGACGAGAGUCUGAACCAGCCAAGUAGCGUGAAGGAUGACUGCCCUAUGGGUUGUAAACUUCUUUUAUAUGGGAAUAAAGUGAGCC
RNAcentral lists this ribosomal RNA (434 nucleotides) under uncultured bacterium. RNAcentral's name for it is "bacterial SSU rRNA". It matches the Rfam family "Bacterial small subunit ribosomal RNA", at positions 28 to 457 of the family's 1533-position model. The record is from RNAcentral.